This 85-nucleotide transfer RNA is filed under the name Planctomycetaceae bacterium. RNAcentral describes it as "tRNA-Leu". It matches the Rfam family "tRNA". Rfam says of the family: Transfer RNA (tRNA) molecules are approximately 80 nucleotides in length. Their secondary structure includes four short double-helical elements and three loops (D, anti-codon, and T loops). Further hydrogen bonds mediate the characteristic L-shaped molecular structure. tRNAs have two regions of fundamental functional importance: the anti-codon, which is responsible for specific mRNA codon recognition, and the 3' end, to which the tRNAs corresponding amino acid is attached (by aminoacyl-tRNA synthetases). tRNAs cope with the degeneracy of the genetic code in two manners: having more than one tRNA (with a specific anti-codon) for a particular amino acid; and 'wobble' base-pairing, i.e. permitting non-standard base-pairing at the 3rd anti-codon position. The record is from RNAcentral. Lineage: Bacteria; Pseudomonadati; Planctomycetota; Planctomycetia; Planctomycetales; Planctomycetaceae.
GCCGGAGUGGCGGAAUCGGCAGACGCGCUGGAUUCAAAAUCCAGUGAGCUUAACGCUCGUGUGGGUUCGAGUCCCACCUCCGGUA